UUCGAAUUAGUGUAAUUGGCUCACACAUGAUAUUGCUCUGAUAACUGAGCUAUCAAGCUUGGGGAUCGAAUCCCUGAUUCGAAU
This is a non-coding RNA of Annulohypoxylon nitens, 84 nucleotides long. Lineage: Eukaryota; Fungi; Ascomycota; Sordariomycetes; Xylariales; Hypoxylaceae. The record is from the annotation of a GenBank genome assembly.